UUUUUUUUUUUUUUUUUUUUUUUUUUUUUUUUUUUUUUUUUUUUUUUUUUUUUUUUUUUUUUUUUUUUUUUUUUUUUUUUUUUUUUUUUUUUUUUUUUUUUUUUUUUUUUUUUUUUUUUUUUUUUUUUUUUUUUUUUUUUUUUUUUUCAUAAUGGCACGACUUUUUUUUUUUUUUUUUUUUUUUUUUUUUUUUUUUUUUUUC
RNAcentral lists this long non-coding RNA (202 nucleotides) under Linum usitatissimum (flax). Its description in RNAcentral is "long non-coding RNA (LUSI_LNC007244)". The record is from RNAcentral. Lineage: Eukaryota; Viridiplantae; Streptophyta; Magnoliopsida; Malpighiales; Linaceae.